RNAcentral lists this ribosomal RNA (1368 nucleotides) under Salmonella enterica subsp. enterica serovar Heidelberg. RNAcentral describes it as "partial 23S ribosomal RNA". It matches the Rfam family "Bacterial large subunit ribosomal RNA", at positions 137 to 1547 of the family's 2925-position model. Lineage: Bacteria; Pseudomonadati; Pseudomonadota; Gammaproteobacteria; Enterobacterales; Enterobacteriaceae. The record is from RNAcentral.
GACUCGUCACACUAUCAUUAACUGAAUCCAUAGGUUAAUGAGGCGAACCGGGGGAACUGAAACAUCUAAGUACCCCGAGGAAAAGAAAUCAACCGAGAUUCCCCCAGUAGCGGCGAGCGAACGGGGAGGAGCCCAGAGCCUGAAUCAGCAUGUGUGUUAGUGGAAGCGUCUGGAAAGGCGCGCGAUACAGGGUGACAGCCCCGUACACAAAAGCGCAUGUGCUGUGAGCUCGAUGAGUAGGGCGGGACACGUGGUAUCCUGUCUGAAUAUGGGGGGACCAUCCUCCAAGGCUAAAUACUCCUGACUGACCGAUAGUGAACCAGUACCGUGAGGGAAAGGCGAAAAGAACCCCGGCGAGGGGAGUGAAAAAGAACCUGAAACCGUGUACGUACAAGCAGUGGGAGCACCCUUUGGGGUGUGACUGCGUACCUUUUGUAUAAUGGGUCAGCGACUUAUAUUCUGUAGCAAGGUUAACCGUAUAGGGGAGCCGUAGGGAAACCGAGUCUUAACCGGGCGUUAAGUUGCAGGGUAUAGACCCGAAACCCGGUGAUCUAGCCAUGGGCAGGUUGAAGGUUGGGUAACACUAACUGGAGGACCGAACCGACUAAUGUUGAAAAAUUAGCGGAUGACCUGUGGCUGGGGGUGAAAGGCCAAUCAAACCGGGAGAUAGCUGGUUCUCCCCGAAAGCUAUUUAGGUAGCGCCUCGUGAAUUCAUCUCCGGGGGUAGAGCACUGUUUCGGCUAGGGGGCCAUCCCGGCUUACCAACCCGAUGCAAACUGCGAAUACCGGAGAAUGUUAUCACGGGAGACACACGGCGGGUGCUAACGUCCGUCGUGAAGAGGGAAACAACCCAGACCGCCAGCUAAGGUCCCAAAGUCAUGGUUAAGUGGGAAACGAUGUGGGAAGGCCCAGACAGCCAGGAUGUUGGCUUAGAAGCAGCCAUCAUUUAAAGAAAGCGUAAUAGCUCACUGGUCGAGUCGGCCUGCGCGGAAGAUGUAACGGGGCUAAACCAUGCACCGAAGCUGCGGCAGCGACGCUGAUGCGUUGUUGGGUAGGGGAGCGUUCUGUAAGCCUGCGAAGGUGACCUGUGAGGGUUGCUGGAGGUAUCAGAAGUGCGAAUGCUGACAUAAGUAACGAUAAAGCGGGUGAAAAGCCCGCUCGCCGGAAGACCAAGGGUUCCUGUCCAACGUUAAUCGGGGCAGGGUGAGUCGACCCCUAAGGCGAGGCCGAAAGGCGUAGUCGAUGGGAAACGGGUUAAUAUUCCCGUACUUGGUGUUACUGCGAAGGGGGGACGGAGAAGGCUAUGUUGGCCGGGCGACGGUUGUCCCGGUUUAAGCGUGUAGGUGUGUGUUCCAGGUAAAUCCGGUU